RNAcentral lists this long non-coding RNA (1416 nucleotides) under Junco hyemalis (dark-eyed junco). Its description in RNAcentral is "lncRNA (ENSJHYG00000004010.1)". Lineage: Eukaryota; Metazoa; Chordata; Aves; Passeriformes; Passerellidae. The record is from RNAcentral.
CAGUGACAGUGACAGUGGCAGUGACACCGAGCAGAGCUGCGGCGCUCCAGCGCAGGCAGGAUCCCUGUGCAGGGAAGCAGCAGCUCCAGGGGUGCUGGGAUCCCAGGGCAUUGAAGCGCGGCCGAGUCACGGAUUACUGAGGAAGGGGCAACACCCACGGAAGUGCUGGAGAACAGGCAGCCCUGGGAGCACAAAAUGAAAAUAAAACCACUCCCAGACAAAGGAAAAACCUCAAGGGAAAUGGUGCCUGCUUCGGAGAAUCCCUCCCUGCUAACGUGGGGGAAGUCUGGGAAUGAAGAUGGGCUGGGAACGGAGAUGAAGCUGGGAAUGGAAAUGAACUGGACAUUGCAGUACUUUAUUCACUGAAAGAACAACAAAGUACUGGAAUGCUCUUCCCACGUAAGUGGUAGAAUCACCAUCUCUGGAUGUGUUUAAUAAAAGACUGGACAGGGCACUUGGUGCUACAGUUGAUGUGUCAGGGCAUGGGUUGGACUCAAUGAUCUUACAGGUCUCUUCCAACCUCACUAUUCUGUGAUUCUGUGAACUGGGAAUGGAGAUGGACUGGGAAUGGAGAUGGACUGGGAAUGGAGAUGAAGGUGGGAGUCACUGAGAGCCCUCCUGCAGGAAGCCUGCAGCACUGCGAUGUGGAGAGAGAAGGAAAAGGAAAAAAACAGAAAGAGGAAAGUUCAAAACCCAUCAAACCCCAGAGUUCCAAUGUUACAAGACCACAGACACAGAAACUUUUCUGCUUCUUUUCCAGUGAGGAAACAAUCCCAGCAGCUCUGCUGGAACAAGAACAAUUCUGGGCCACGAGGAGAACAAACCCACAUUUCAGUGAGUCAUGGGCAGAUAUUCCAAGGCAGAGUGAGGAGUUUCUGCCAUCAGGACAGAGCCCAGGCAGUGGCAGAGGGAGGGAAGGACACCGGCACUGGCCCUGAACCCUCCCUGAGUUCCAGCUCUCCAAACCAUCAUUAAUGUUCACCAGGCCCAGAAAGAUGAGCAGCUUUCAAGUCUCAGAUAACCCCAAAGUGCAGAGCCAUUCCCACUCCACGCUCAGCAGCUCCCAAAGAUAAAAAAGCAGAUUAUUCCCUUUAAACUCUCCUGGCACCAGCCCGUGGCUCCAGCUGGACUAUGGCAGGCUAAAAACAUGGCUGCAAAGCCAUGCUUAAAAAAAAAUGCUUUAAAAUUGCACAUUUCAGGGUUUCAGUCUCAGUAUUCAGUGCCUGACCACCAAGAGAUGAUUUGCUCUGAUUACCAGCUCAGAUUUACCAAAUAUCUUGCAUUCAUAUAUAUUUUUAUAUUUUUACUUUAUAUUUCACUUACCUAAACCAGACAUUCCCCUAGGUAAGAAAUCAUGUAAAUAUAAUGAUUAUGAUAAGAAAUAAAUAGAAAUAAUAGCUAUUUUAGAUAAUAAUG